RNAcentral lists this ribosomal RNA (776 nucleotides) under uncultured Neocallimastigales. RNAcentral describes it as "partial large subunit ribosomal RNA". It matches the Rfam family "Eukaryotic large subunit ribosomal RNA", at positions 24 to 633 of the family's 3401-position model. The record is from RNAcentral. Lineage: Eukaryota; Fungi; Neocallimastigomycota; Neocallimastigomycetes; Neocallimastigales.
UAUGUGAUCGUCUCUCGCAUAUCAAUAAGCGGAGGAAAAGAAACUAACAAGGAUUCCCCUAGUAACGGCGAGUGAAGCGGGAAGAGCUCAAAUUUGAAAUCUUAAAGGGUUUCCCUUUACGAAUUGCUAGUUUAAAGAAGUGUUUUCUGUUGAGGUUUUGGUAAAAGUUCUUUGGAAUAGGACAUCAUAGAGGGUGAGAAUCCCGUAUUUGACCUUUACUUUCAACUUUGUGAUACACUUUCAAAGAGUCGGAUUGUUUGGGAAUGCAGUCCAAGAUGGGUGGUAAAUUUCAUCUAAAGCUAAAUAUUGGCGAGAGACCGAUAGCGAACAAGUACCGUGAGGGAAAGAUGAAAAGAACUUUGAAAAGAGAGUUAAACAGUACGUGAAAUUGUCAGAAGGGAAGCGUUUGACACCAGUGUUGUUUUUCUGAAAAUCAAUUAAAGAACUGUUUAUGCAUAAGCUGUUUAGACUUUAUCAGCUAACUGUUUAGUUUUGAGCUUUUCUUUAAUGCACUUUUCAGUUAACAAGUCAACAUCAAUUUCUUUUGCUGUAAAAAAGCUUGAGGAAGGUGGCUUGAGAUUCGUCUUAAGUGUUUAUAGCCUCUUGCCUAUGCAGUCGGAGAGAUUGAGGUCUGCAGCGUAGAUCCUUCGGGGCUAAAUGCAUUUGUGCUAAGUUAUAGCAUUUUAUAGACAACUUGUUGACUAUGAUUUGUCUUGUAGCUUACUCGCUUAUGUUAUUUUACCUACGCUUAGGAUGUUGAAGACUCUACAGAGAUA